This 443-nucleotide ribosomal RNA is filed under the name uncultured bacterium. RNAcentral describes it as "partial 16S ribosomal RNA". It matches the Rfam family "Bacterial small subunit ribosomal RNA", at positions 338 to 795 of the family's 1533-position model. The record is from RNAcentral.
CCUACGGGAGGCAGCAGUGGGGAAUAUUGGGCAAUGGGCGCAAGCCUGACCCAGCAACGCCGCGUGAAGGAAGACGGCCCUCGGGUUGUAAACUUCUUUUAUCAAGGACGAAACAAAUGACGGUACUUGAUGUAUCAGCCACAGCUAACUACGUGCCAGCAGCCGCGGGAAUACGUAGGUGGCAAGCGUUACCCGGAUUUACUGGGUGUAAAGGGCGUGUAGGCGGGACUGCAAGUCAGAUGUGAAAACCAUGGGCUCAACCCAUGGCCUGCAGUUGAAACUGUAGUUCUUGAGUGUGGGAGAGGCAGGCGGAAUGCGGGGUGUAGCGGUGAAAUGCGUAGAUAUACGGAGGAACACCAGUGGCGAAGGCGGCCUGCUGGACAAUAACUGACGCUGAGGCGCGAAAGCGUGGGGAGCAAACAGGAUUAGAUACCCCGGUAGUC